UACGAAGGGGGCUAGCGUUGCUCGGAAUCACUGGGCGUAAAGCGCACGUAGGCGGCUUGUUAAGUCAGGGGUGAAAUCCUGGAGCUCAACUCCAGAACUGCCUUUGAUACUGGCGAUCUUGAGUCCGGGAGAGGUGAGUGGAACUCCGAGUGUAGAGGUGAAAUUCGUAGAUAUUCGGAAGAACACCAGUGGCGAAGGCGGCUCACUGGCCCGGUACUGACGCUGAGGCGCGAAAGCGUGGGGAGCAAACAGG
Molecule: ribosomal RNA, 253 nt
Filed under: uncultured bacterium
Lineage: Bacteria
Description: partial 16S ribosomal RNA
Rfam family: Bacterial small subunit ribosomal RNA
Source: RNAcentral